UUCCCUUGAUUUGCCUACGAUUGUGUGGGAGAUGAAAAGCGUUUAUCUGAUGUUUGGAAUUUUCCUGUGGUGACAGCAGGAGAGAAAAAAAUGUCUUUUGCUUUUCCUCCAUCUUGGAAAGGGCUGAUGCACCUGGAGGAGAGUGAGGAGAAAAGGAAGUGAAGUUGCAAGCCAGGACAGCCUUGGAACUGGGUGAGGAGGGGCAAUUUUUCAGGAAAUUGAAGGACAGGAGAAGGAGCUUUUCGCCCUUAACAAUCCUGAGUUUGCUGCUGUGGAGGAAAAGGCUGAAAGUUCCCGGUUUCUGCGGUCACCGGCCGCCUGUGCCAGCGAGCUCAUAUCUGCCCUGUUGAGAGACACCUCCGCCCGUCUCGGCGGGCCGAGAGCAGGAACGCUGCCGGGGAGCGCCAGUGUCAGGCAGGCAUCGUGCCUAACUUUACCAGCCUGAUGGGAACAGACAGGGACAAAGGUUCCAGGUCAGCUCUACGACUGCACAGGCCUGUGCUGUCCCCUGGGAAGGGUCCUCCUGCCACACUGACUGCUGGUGACCUUGCAGAGGGACAUGGAGCUGCUGGCUGUCGUGGCACCAGAGGAAACAGGAAAGGAUGCAAAAGCAGCACAAGCUGAGGUGGAAGAAGUAGAAAAAGCAGCAGCAACAGGGGAGGUGGAAAGCUCAGCAGGAACAGGUCUGUGUGUAAAGCUGGUCAUUCCUGAAGGAGCAAAGGAGACAAUGGUGGAAGCAACAGAAAAACCAGAAGCAGGAAGAGAUGCUGAAGCAUUUGCCCGGGCAGCAGAAAGAAUUGCAGUAUCAGAAGUAGCCAAGGUGUUGCAGGCAGCAAUAGCUGAGCUCAAAGGGAAGAGGAAGAGCAUGUGGAUAAAGCCAAGGAACGCCACUCAGCAGGAGGACGAUUGGGUGAAAGAGGGAGAGGUGAAAUGAAACCAAGAAGAGGUGGUGUCUGGGUCAUACCUCCUAAUGGGGGGCCUGGUACCCUGACACUGUGACCACUCCUGGAACACAAUAGGGCUACCAAUCACAUCUCUUUUGUGACUGACUAUACUAUUAAAA
Molecule: long non-coding RNA, 1063 nt
Organism: Myiozetetes cayanensis
Lineage: Eukaryota; Metazoa; Chordata; Aves; Passeriformes; Tyrannidae
Exons: 6
Source: RefSeq, a predicted model, not a curated record